Molecule: ribosomal RNA, 628 nt
Filed under: Gephyromantis fiharimpe
Lineage: Eukaryota; Metazoa; Chordata; Amphibia; Anura; Mantellidae
Description: partial 12S ribosomal RNA
Rfam family: Bacterial small subunit ribosomal RNA (bases 1-473)
Source: RNAcentral
AACCGCCCGGGAAUUACGAGCGCAAGCUUAAAACCCAAAGGACUUGACGGAUUCCCAUCCACCUAGAGGAGCCUGUUCUAUAAUCGAUAAUCCACGUUAUACCCUACCAUUUUUCGCCCCCCCAGCCUGUAUACCUCCGUCUCCAGCUUACCAUCUGAGUGUAUAAAGUAAGCCCAAGGGUCUAUUCACCAACACGUCAGGUCAAGGUGCAGCCUAUAAAAUGGAAAGCAAUGGGCUACAAUUUCUACCUUAGAACAAACGAAAAACUACAUGAAACACAGUCAUGAAGGCGGAUUUAGCAGUAAAAGAAAAAUAGUAAACUUCUUUUAACACGGCCCUGGGAAAUGUACAAACCGCCCGUCACCCUCUUCAAUAGCAUUUUCUUUAGUUCUUUAACAACAAAUCAGCAUCCAAGAGGAGGUAAGUCGUAACAUGGUAAGUGUACUGGAAAGUGCACUUGGUUAAACAAAGUGUAGCUUAAUUAAAGCCUUUCGCUUACACCGAAAAAAUACCUGUUCAACCCAGGUCACUUUGAGCCCUAAAUCUAGCCUACUCUAUAUGUACAUUAUAUGUAUAUAUAUACUAUUAUAAUCAAAAUAAAACAUUUUAACCAUCUAGUAAAGGAGAU